RNAcentral lists this unclassified non-coding RNA (200 nucleotides) under soil metagenome. RNAcentral's name for it is "partial contains internal transcribed spacer 2 and large subunit ribosomal RNA". The record is from RNAcentral.
CGGAAACUCGCUCGUUCGAGGGUUCGGCUCCCUUUUAAAUGCAUUAGCGGAGCCACUCGCUUCCGGCUAACCAUCGACGUGAUAAUUAAAACCUUACGUUGUUGGUUCCGGUCCCAGAGUCCGCUCACAAUCGUCCUUCAUCGGACAACACACAAUGACAAUUUGACCUCAAAUCAGGUAGGACUACCCGCUGAACUUAA